Non-coding RNA from Ictidomys tridecemlineatus (thirteen-lined ground squirrel), 745 nucleotides. Lineage: Eukaryota; Metazoa; Chordata; Mammalia; Rodentia; Sciuridae. The record is from RefSeq and is a predicted model, not a curated record.
UCUCCUGCAUCACAGGCAUUAUUCUCCUGCUUCCCAAACAGAAUAUUUAAGGCAUAAAGAGAUUGAAUAUUUACACUGAAGACAUGUUGAUGAUUAUUAAUAUAUAUGUAGUUCUGCCAGUGGAUUGCCUGUUCUGUGACUGAGAAACAUCCCAAUUUUGUAUGCAAUGACAAUAUCACCUGCGAAAACUAUUUGCUGGACCUCCAAGGUAAAGAGUUUAUAGCAAAAAUAAAUUAUGUGUUGGACCAGAGUUGCCCCACAGUUGUUGAAAAGAAAUUUAGAUGCCACGGGUGUGCUUGUACAGAACAAAGGCCAUGGGAAGACAAAGGCAAGGAGAGAGGCCUUAGAAGAAACUGAACCUGCUAACACCUUGACAUUGGACUUCUACCUUCCAGAACUGUGAGAACUUAGCUUUCUUCUAUUGAAGGACCCCAGUCUAUGGUAAUUUGUUAUGGCAGCCCAAGCAAAUGAGCAAACGAAUGCAACAUUUAAAUUUCCAUUCCCCUUUCUGAGUUGACUGGCAAGGCCCUCUUGAAGACCUGCUUAACUAAUCUGUUCCAUGAAGUCCCUUGGCCAAGCCUGGACAGACUAUUCACUCAUUGCCUUAGACACUUCGUGGAGAGUUUCACCCUGAAGACUUUGUCUCUAGUCCCAAGCCAAGUAGCCUUCUUCUAUACUUGACUACUUUCCUCAUCACUCACAAUGGGUGAGUGCAGCUUUCAGCUGAAACAUGUUACAUGAAAUA